Molecule: ribosomal RNA, 1443 nt
Filed under: metagenome
Description: bacterial SSU rRNA
Rfam family: Bacterial small subunit ribosomal RNA
Source: RNAcentral
AGAGUUUGAUCCUGGCUCAGGAUGAACGCUGGCGGCGUGCUUAACACAUGCAAGUCGAACGAUCCUUCGGGAUAGUGGCGGACGGGUGAGUAACGCGUGGGAAUCUGCCCUUAGGAGGGGGAUAACGGCUGGAAACGGCCGCUAAUACCCCAUAUGCCGAGAGGUGAAACGAAUUUCGCCUGAGGAUGAGCCCGCGUCUGAUUAGCUAGUUGGUGGGGUAAAGGCCUACCAAGGCGACGAUCAGUAGCUGGUCUGAGAGGAUGAUCAGCCACACUGGGACUGAGACACGGCCCAGACUCCUACGGGAGGCAGCAGUGGGGAAUUUUCCGCAAUGGGCGAAAGCCUGACGGAGCAACGCCGCGUGAGGGAUGAAGGCCUCUGGGCUGUAAACCUCUUUUCUCAAGGAAGAAGAACUGACGGUACUUGAGGAAUAAGCCACGGCUAAUUCCGUGCCAGCAGCCGCGGUAAUACGGGAGUGGCAAGCGUUAUCCGGAAUUAUUGGGCGUAAAGCGUCCGCAGGCGGCCUUGUAAGUCUGUUGUUAAAGCGUGGAGCUCAACUCCAUUUAAGCAAUGGAAACUACAAGGCUGGAGUGUGGUAGGGGCAGAGGGAAUUCCCGGUGUAGCGGUGAAAUGCGUAGAUAUCGGGAAGAACACCAGUGGCGAAGGCGCUCUGCUGGGCCAUAACUGACGCUCAUGGACGAAAGCCAGGGGAGCGAAAGGGAUUAGAUACCCCUGUAGUCCUGGCCGUAAACGAUGAACACUAGGUGUCGGGGGAAUCGACCCCCUCGGUGUCGUAGCCAACGCGUUAAGUGUUCCGCCUGGGGAGUACGCACGCAAGUGUGAAACUCAAAGGAAUUGACGGGGGCCCGCACAAGCGGUGGAGUAUGUGGUUUAAUUCGAUGCAACGCGAAGAACCUUACCAGGGUUUGACAUCCUGCGAAUCCCUUGGAAACGAGGGAGUGCCUUCGGGAGCGCAGUGACAGGUGGUGCAUGGCUGUCGUCAGCUCGUGUCGUGAGAUGUUGGGUUAAGUCCCGCAACGAGCGCAACCCACGUCUUUAGUUGCCAGCAUUCAGUUGGGCACUCUAGAGAGACCGCCGGUGAUAAACCGGAGGAAGGUGUGGAUGACGUCAAGUCAUCAUGCCCCUUACAUCCUGGGCUACACACGUACUACAAUGCUACGGACAAAGGGCAGCAAGCUCGCGAGAGUUAGCAAAUCCCAUAAACCGUGGCUCAGUUCAGAUCGUAGGCUGCAACUCGCCUACGUGAAGGAGGAAUCGCUAGUAAUCGCAGGUCAGCAUACUGCGGUGAAUACGCUCCCGGGCCUUGUACACACCGCCCGUCACACCAUGGAAGUUGGCCAUGCCCGAAGUCGUUACUCCAACCCUUGUGGAGGAGGACGCCGAAGGUGGGGCUGAUGACUGGGGUGAAGUCGGAACAAGGUA